Molecule: ribosomal RNA, 141 nt
Filed under: Bacteroidales bacterium
Lineage: Bacteria; Pseudomonadati; Bacteroidota; Bacteroidia; Bacteroidales
Description: partial 16S ribosomal RNA
Rfam family: Bacterial small subunit ribosomal RNA
Source: RNAcentral
ACAACGAAGAGUUUGAUCCUGGCUCAGGAUGAACGCUAGCGACAGGCCUAACACAUGCAAGUCGAGCGGCAGCACCUCGGGUGGCGAGCGGCGCACGGGUGAGUAACGCGUAUGUAACCUGCCCAUGAGUGGGGGAUAGCC